GUCUUUUUGAGUUAUUUUUAAAGUCUGACCUGCCCACUGAAUUUAGUUUAAAUGGCCGCAGUAUUUUAACUGUGCAAAGGUAGCAUAAUCAUUAGUCUUUUAAUUGAAGGCUGGUAUGAAUGGUUGGACGAAGUAUAAGCUGUUUCAUAUGAAAUUGUAUUAGAAUUUUAUUUUUUAGUUAAAAAGCUAAAAUUUAAUUAAAAGACGAGAAGACCCUAUAAAUCUUUAUAUUUAAAAUUUAUAUAAAUUUUUUUGAUUUUUUUUGUUUUUAUAUAUUUACAUAUUUUAUUGGGGUGAUAUUAAAAUUUAAUAAACUUUUAAUUACUAUUAUUAUUAAAUCAUUAAUUUAUGAAUUAUUGAUCCGUUAUUAGUGAUUAUAAAAUUAAGUUACUUUAGGGAUAACAGCGUAAUUUUUUUUGAGAGUUCAUAUCGAUAAAAAAGUUUGCGACCUCGAUGUUGGAUUAAGAUAUAUUUUUAGGUGUAGUUGCUUAAAUAUUAAGUCUGUUCGACUUUUAAAUUCUU
This 522-nucleotide ribosomal RNA is filed under the name Ceratitis aliena. RNAcentral describes it as "partial 16S ribosomal RNA". The stretch from base 398 to 522 matches the Rfam family "Bacterial large subunit ribosomal RNA", at positions 2473 to 2597 of the family's 2925-position model. Lineage: Eukaryota; Metazoa; Arthropoda; Insecta; Diptera; Tephritidae. The record is from RNAcentral.